RNAcentral lists this ribosomal RNA (710 nucleotides) under Streptomonospora sp. 41397. RNAcentral's name for it is "bacterial SSU rRNA". It matches the Rfam family "Bacterial small subunit ribosomal RNA", at positions 126 to 833 of the family's 1533-position model. The record is from RNAcentral. Lineage: Bacteria; Bacillati; Actinomycetota; Actinomycetes; Streptosporangiales; Nocardiopsidaceae.
CUGCCCCUGACUCCGGGAUAAGCCGGGGAAACCCGGUCUAAUACCGGAUAGGACGUCUCGUCGCAUGGCGGGGCGUGGAAAGGUGUCUUUCCGGUCAGGGAGGGGCUCGCGGCCUAUCAGCUUGUUGGUGGGGUGAAGGCCUACCAAGGCGAUUACGGGUAGCCGGCCUGAGAGGGCGACCGGCCACACUGGGACUGAGACACGGCCCAGACUCCUACGGGAGGCAGCAGUGGGGAAUAUUGCGCAAUGGGCGGAAGCCUGACGCAGCGACGCCGCGUGGGGGAUGACGGCCUUCGGGUUGUAAACCUCUUUUACCACCGACGCAGGCCCGUGCUUCUGUGCGGGUUGACGGUAGGUGGGGAAUAAGGACCGGCCAACUACGUGCCAGCAGCCGCGGUAAUACGUAGGGUCCGAGCGUUGUCCGGAAUUAUUGGGCGUAAAGAGCUCGUAGGUGGCGUGUCGCGUCUGCUGUGUAAGUCCGGGGCUUAACUCCGGUUUGGCAGUGGAUACGGGCAUGCUAGAGGUAGGCAGGGGAGACUGGAAUUCCUGGUGUAGCGGUGAAAUGCGCAGAUAUCAGGAGGAACACCGGUGGCGAACGCGGGUCUCUGGGCCUUACCUGACGCUGAGGAGCGAAAGCGUGGGGAGCGAACAGGAUUAGAUACCCUGGUAGUCCACGCUGUAAACGUUGGGCGCUAGGUGUGGGGACUUUC